This is an RNA transcript of Columba livia (rock pigeon), 7436 nucleotides long. It is a transcript of the gene named trichohyalin-like, with no coding region annotated. The record is from RefSeq and is a predicted model, not a curated record. NCBI's taxonomy places the organism in Eukaryota, Metazoa, Chordata, Aves, Columbiformes, Columbidae. The transcript has 8 exons.
CGGCGCCUACCAACUGCGGGUGCUGGGGGGGGGGACGGGACGUAGGUGUUGUCUAAAAACUGUUUGUUUUUUUUUCACUCGACACAGAGUCGAGAGAUUUGUUUAUCCCAUGUCUGCGCAGCGCCGGGUGGUGAUGUCACACGAGUAACGUUCAUACAUUCAGAACCCGCCUGGACGCCUCCCCGUGUAACCUCAUCUAGGCGUUCCUGCUCCGGCAGGGGGAUUGGACUAGAUGAUCGUUCGAGGUCCCUUCCAAUCCCUAACAUUCUGUGAGCUCGGGCCACCGUUACCGGCACUUUAACAAUGACGCUUUGCCGCCCUCAUUCCCAUUGGCUCUUGCGACGCACCCCCCCCCCCCCCUUAAAGUGACAGCGCCCUUGCUUUUCCCUGCGCAUGCGCCGUGAGAGAGGCGCAUUCCGUGCGGAGGAAGGGGCCGCUCCCGCUCGAGGGCGCGUUUUUUACGAGGAUUUUCGCCGUAAUUGGGGCAGUUCACGCCUAGUUCAAGUGAUUCCCUUUUCCCCUUCACACUUCUUGUGGUGUUUCCUCUCGGCCUUGUCCUGUUCCUCCUGCCAGGGCAACCUCGACUGUUUUACAAAGGUAAGCUCCAUGUCCAUCUCACACGUCCAGUGUUGUCACACAGCUAAUAAAGAUCCCUGUUGCUUUCUGUGGCCAAGAUGUCCAGUAACUCACUUUCCUGUUUGUGCACAGAACCCAGAUUUCCUUUCUAUCCCCUUGAUAUCCUCAGCAAAAAGGAAUGUCAUUGAUUCAUGCCCAGAGGCUUCCAGUUUGGUGAGAGGGGCUCGUGUGUUGGCAAGGAGAGAAGCUGAUGGCUAUUACUACCUGGGCCACAUUGCCCAAGAGGUGAAGGGCUCCAGGGAACGCUUUUUAAUUGAGUUUGACAAAAUUCACGCUCUGAAAGGCAAGAUACAGCUUCGCAUGCAGGAAACCCCUCUCUACGACAUUCUCCACUACGAAGAUGCCAGGCGACAGCCUCUUGCUCCAGGAGACAGGGUCUUGGCACCAUGGGAGGCCAGAGCUGAACGUUUUGGCCCAGGCACUGUGCUAAAGGUUACAGAGAACAAGGAGGCACAUUUAGUACACAACAGAGGGGGAGUGCUUGUGAAUUUCUGGAAUGGGCAGACUAAAGAGGUGUCUUCUGACCAAGCUGUGUGGAUUCCUCUGCCCAUAUGCGAACGCAUCAUCCUAGAACUGCAGAUGCCUUUAGCAGCCAGGCAGAUGGUGAUAGAUUCAAGCUUGGAUUACCCAUACAUUGUCACACCAGGUUAUAGAGCCUCAGGCCAUUACAGACAAGGUCACUCAGACCUGGACUGCUGGCCAAGGGGUCUGUGUUCGACUCAGCCAUGUGCUAAGUGCAGCUGUAGCUGUACUUCGCAUCCCCACUGCUGCCUUGCAGCCUGGGAACCCACACAGCCUCCAGGGUUCAAAGUGCAGCAGGAAGAUGCCUUUGUCUCAGGAACAAGCUUAACUGAAGAAGAGCUCAGCAAGAAAAUAGAAGAGGAACUGUCUGAAGUGAGGAUUUAAUCUUCAGAAAGUGUUUCUAGAGAGGAAGAGAAAAAGGAAGAUGAGAGAUUGAAGACAGAAAAUGUUCCAAAAGAUGUUCAGUCUUGUUUGGAAAAGGAAAAUGAGGUUAUAGAACCUAAGAAGGUAAAAAGUGCUUCACCCUGGCUUUUCUGUUAACAUGUGUUCUACUGUUUGUAUAGUGCCUGCUUUGUUACCCCAAGUUUUCUGCUCUUGGUACCAAAAAAUUACUGGAGGUUUUAGGCCUGACCCUUAUAUAUACCUGCUAAAGAACUGAGAGACUUUGCUUUGUACUGUCUUCCUGAUCCUUUGACUGGCGAAAGAGCUAGAAACUCUUAUUGUUACUGGUUGGAGCAGACUCCUAGAAUCUCUUCCAUGGAUGCAGAACAUGAAGUGUUGCAUAGCUCAGUUCCUCUACAUCCUGCCUCUGCAUGAAAGAGGUAAAGGCAGCAAAAAGUGUCUGACAGAAGACUUUACACCAGAUAAGGGUUACAGUAAGGAUUGCUCCAUACCAAGGCAGUCCCUGGCAUAAUUCUGUUAACAUAUUUCUCCACCCUGUUAGAUGCAUCACCUCUCCCAGUCAAAGACCAAAAGAGGCUUUUGUGAUCCUUGGUGGUUGAUUUGGUGCUUGUGAACAGGGCACUGGAUGAGGAUCAGUAAGGAGGAGGGUAAUGCGCACCAGCUACUGCCAAACUUUUCUCCAUUGCUCUGCAAGGGUUAGAAUCCUCAUUUCUGCCACAUGCCAGAAAAGUUACUAUCUUUCAGCCAGAGUUCUCUGGCCUGAUCUCUUUUGUACCAGUUUGGACCCUUCCAGGCAAAUGUACUGCCAGUUUUAGUUCAUUUGAAGAUGCAGAGAAACCCACAAAGUGAUCAAAAAUCAUUUUACUUAAGAGUUGUUUCUUUAGUAAAGAACUCCCCCGGAUUUUUUUUAUUCUUUCUUAAAGUUCAGUUGCAGUUUAAAGUCUUAUGCUGUAAAUUCAUGAAACUAACCUAUUCUUAUCAGCUCUGGAUUAAGAUUGCAUUUGUUAUUAUUUCUAGAGUCCUCAGAGGCAGAUGGCUCAUGCUAUGGUUGAUACUGCUGUCAACACAGACAGCUGGUUAAUGGAGGCAGCUCACAAGGAAGAAGCAGACAGAAGACAGCAGGGUGCUGAAACUGAGGCCAAUGUUAAACACAAACAUGGUAUUGAAAUUGUAGCUGGUUUAUCCAAAUGUAAGACUUGCCACACAAUAUCAGUGCAGCAGGCCAUCAUAUCCAAGAUCUGUUGCCAUGGUUCUUGAUGUUUCAAAAGAAAAUGCCGUAAUGCUGCCACCAUAAUGUAGCCACCAUAAUGUGGUAUCAUGUGGGUAUUAAUGGUAGUUGUUCAUCUUCUGAGUACUUUCAGAUGGAAGUUGGGGGUUCUUGGCUUUUACAGGUACUGCAGUAGCAGCUUUUGGGUUUUCUUAUCCUUUAUCAUAAUGCCCACUAUAAAUAUAAAGUCUUAAAAAAUUUCCUUACUUUAAACAUUAAUGCGUAACAUUAACUAUGGCUGCCUAUAGCAAAAAGGUUUCACCAGGACUGUUCUGCAGAACAUUCCUCUGGGCUGAAAAUGAUUGCUUUAUAAUGUCAUUGAGUAAAUUUUUGUUCCCUUAUCAUCCAAAAGGGACUGGAUCAUGAUUUUAAUCAAAUAGUUGCUGUUCUCAUUUAAACUAGUUUGAUGAAAAUUACAGGCAUUUAAAUGAGGACUCUGAAAGCCUAAAGCUUUUUCCAAGUGUUAUUGCUUUGCUCUGUGUCACUGCUGGCAGAGGGAGAAUUAAAAGUCAAACUGGCAUGCACAUUUUCUCCCAGCUGGUGUUCCCGCAUCAUUCCAUACAACAAUUGCCUCUUAGGUCCAUGCUAUCUUUAGCAGAAAGGUGCAAGCAAACUACCUAUGUUCUCAGUUACGUGAAAACUGUGUUAGCACAGUGUUGUGCUCAAGCUAAUUUAUCUUGUCUCUCAGCAGGAUGUGCAGCUCAGGCUUUGCCUUGUCAAGAAGUUUAUAAUUUUUUAUUGUCUUGGAGUAUUGGCAGAAGAAGCUCAUGUCUGUCUGUGAAAUACCAUGUAAACAACCCCUUAGCCUGAGUAGCUGCAAGUACCAUCAGUGAUCUUGUAUUACCAGGCAAAACUCUGGCUUGACUGCAAUGACAAGCUUGUGUUUUGAAAGCUGAGACUUGUUUUGUGGAAACUAAAAAAUGUCCCAUUUCUUCAGAGGAAAAUGUUGGUACUAAGUUAUGAAAGUCUUGCUUGAGUUUAUUUCAUAUGAGAAGACUUUGGUUUUAAUUUGCUUUCUUUUUGUAAGCUGACUAUAACCUCUUAUGUCCCUGCCCUAAUUCAUUUGAAAGGUGUUUUUGAAUCCAGAGUGGCAGAAGCUCCAAUCCAGUAUUCCCAGAGGAGCCCUUCCCUGGGAACCAAAGCUUUGGUUCCUUUCAGGCGCCAAAGCUUCUUUGACCGAGUGAAUGAAUCACUAGAGAAAGACAGCCUGACCAUAAAAUCAGCUCUGCAUGUACAGAGACCACACAGAACCUCCAGUGUGCAGGCCAGGAGAUCCACAAAUCUUCUACAUCUUCUAAAAGACAAAAGCAUUACAAAAUCGAUCCUUCAUGGUGCAUCUCAGGAUAGAUGGAAAGAGAUGGACUUCAACAGAGCCAAGAUUGAGCACAAAAGGUGGCAAGAGGAACAGAGGCAGCUGAAGAGGGAGCAGCAGCAAGAGGCAGAUGGCAUCCGAAGCCAGCUGCGCAGGGACAACCAGAGGCAGCGAUUGCAUCAGAGAACAUUGCAAGGGCUGGAGAAACAGCUUGAGCACACAGACAGAGCUUUGCAGCACCUGGCACUGCUCCAGGCUGCUGGGACAGAGAGGAGCAGGAAGGAAUCCUUCUUGCAAGAGGAGGAGAAGAGAAAAGCAAGUCAGAGGCUGCAGUUCUUAAAGGCACAGAGUUUGCAAAAGGAGGAGUUGCAAGCACAACGCAAUGAAAGGAGCUUUGAACAAGAGAAAGAAAGGCUGGAUUUUCUCAGGAGCAGAAUGCAGUCACGGCAGGAAGUGUUGAAACAAGAAUCACAGGAGAUGGACAGGCAACAAAAACAGCACCAGGCUGCCAAAGAAAGAAAGUUCCAGAGCAGAGACCGUUCACGCCAGAAGGUGGAAAAAGAAGGCCAAAAACUCUGUGACCUCCAGCAGUAUCUCAGAGAACAGAAUCUUUUGAUGCUCAGGGCAUCGGUGCUGGCAUAAGGAAGCUGCAGAGUGGGUAAGCAGCCCCUUGAGCAGUUUCACAGACCUGCUCUGGGUCUUGUAGGUGUGAGUCAGCAUGCUGGAGCUUGGGUGCUUGAGUGCAGUUGUGACAAGUGAAAUUAUGAUUUUGGAGAAUUCUUUAAUCCCCCUUUCAUUGCAGGCAGUGUGCAUUUUCACUGCUUCAUCCUUACAUGCCUUUGUUUCUGGAGCUGCUAUAAUAGUCCAGCUAUGUCAAGUGAAAUGGUGGAAGCACAGGCACAGGCAAAUCAAAUACAGGCCUGAAAAGGCUUCCACAGCUGAAUUCUGGGAACUUCCUGUGUUUCUUGCAGAGCAGUGCCAGAAAAUAAUUUCUUCAAGGUCAAGGAAGUGCAGUUGUGUGAUGCUGUCACAUGAUUUACCUUGCUAUGUUAACCUUACAUGAAAUAUGGGAAAGGAGAGCUGAAUAACAGCUGGAUGUUAAAAACCAAACAAACAAACUGCAGCAAUGAUAAUGUAUGUGCUAAAAUACAAUGUAAAUUAUCUUCUGCGAUUUCCACUAUUAACCACUGACUCUUGCAAGUGUCCCGUGGCACGCUGAGUUGCAGAGAUCCAUGACACGAUUGUGGUACUUCCUGCCAAAACUGCUGUAGGGGCAGAGCAGGGAUCCAGUGACAUGAGAGGUGCUUCAGAAAACCUGAGAAGACAGCAUGGAACCCUCCAGCCUGGGCUUCAGGUUAAGUGCGGAUCUUCUGCUGUCAAGGCAUAUGUACUGUAUGUAAUAUGUAAAUGUUUGUUCUGUGAAAUACCUGUAUUUGGAGAGCCACCAAACCCAGUGGUGGACUUGGGGGGUCUGUUUUGCUUACAGGCUUUGAGGUUGGCAGUCUCCAAAAGCAGGUAACCUUAUGUCAGCAAGAUAGAUACCCCAAUGUCUUUGCAGGUAAGGUUCCUGGUCAGGCUAAACAUACUUUUUGUUCACCAUGAAUAAAGGAUGACAAUGCUCAAAGACAAAUGAAUUGGUAACUUGACAGUUAAAUUGUUCAAGAAACCAAGGUAGCCAGUAGUACUGUAAGAGGAGAAAAGUUCACCAUGCAGGCUGUAGAGUAAAACAUAGUAACCACCUGGAGUCCUCCAUGCAACUUGAUCAUGACUCCUCUGAUUUUAUAAGUGCAUUACUGAUUUUCCUUAAUGAAGCCUGUGGUGUCAGCCACUCCUGUGGACAAGCUACAGGCUUCUCCCCUCUGCUGAAAGAAGACAGUAAGGCACAUCAACAGACAGUUUUUUCCAACAGGAGAGGUUUGGUGGUUGUGGUUUUUUUUAUGAACUAUACUCUGACAAGUGGAGGUGCCUUCUUUCACAAGGGAGAGGAAAGGGUUACACUUGUCGGAUCUUGAAGUGCUGCCCCUCUUCCUCGUACCAUCAGAGGUACAAAAUACAGUAGCUUUGGGUAGCCAGAAAUUUAAUUGUUCUUUUCACAGCGGUAUUUAAAGAGAAUGGACAUGGCACAAUUUUUGCUGGAACACUCAGAGCUAUAAUAUAUUGCAGGGUGUUCUUAUUUUACAAAUUUUAUCCUAAAAUAUAUAUAUAAUAUUUGAGAUACCUUCUUUUAAGCAAUACCUAAAAUGAAACUAGAUACAAAACUUAAAUGUUGUUGCCUGACAUUCUGUGUACACUUAGAAACAUGUUACACAUUUUCUGGCACACCACUGAGCAAAAAGCAGAAGUUGUGUAAAAAUUCACCCCUUUUACAGGAACAUAGCACCAGUGACAGCAGCAUUUAAAAAAAAUAAUAAAAUAAACUUCUAAAAGUGAGAGCAUUUGAAAUUCUGCCAAAUCUUCUCAGUGGCCAGCAGUUUCUUAGCAUUAAGUCUCAGCCUGUGUUCCUCCAGAGAGAACUGAGAGGCCAUACCUUCAGCUUUCCUCAGAAAGACAGUUAAGUCUCUCAUUCAGGUAUUUACAAACUAUUCUAAGGCCUUGAUAGCUAAAAAGAGUAUUUUUAACUUUAAGAUCCAUAAUAUGCAUGAGCUAUCCUGAGACUUCUGUUAAAAAAAAAAAAAAAAAACAGGGGAAAAGGAAAGAAAGAUGAACCUGUAUAUAAUGUGAAGGCUUUGAAGUUUGGGGUUUUUUGUUUAAAUUAAGGUCUGAAAAAAUUAUAACUUGCUGCAUAUAUGGAAACUACACAUGAAGCACAGUUUUGCAUUUUAGACACGGAAUUCUAUCAUUUGUUUUAAGCUCAGUUUAGCCCCUGGAAAAGUUGGCUGAAAUUUGCUCAGGAAGAACACGGGUGGCUGCACCCAAGACGUGCGUGACUGAUGGCCUGGGCCCAGGCUCUACAAGCUGCAGGGGGCUAUGCCAGGUCUGUCUACCCCCCCAGCUGGGUGGAAAUGGGAGGGGGCACACACGCUACUGAGGGAAAGUGGGUGCUGGCAGCACAUGGAGGUUUUCCUUAAUGUAAACUUUGGGGGUUGCUUGUGUUCCUUACUACUUUGAAUUCUCUGUUACAUGAAAUCAUGUGCUAGUUAGGACAACAGUAUACUUGGUUAUUAGUUUAAAGUCAGCUUACAGAAACAAGCCUAAACUUAAAAGAUAUGCAACUCUAUUGCUGCUUUUAUCCUUAAGCAUUUGUAAAUGGAAUAUGUGAUGACUAAAGUACAUGAAAUAUAUUGAGCAGAAUCUAAA